Molecule: long non-coding RNA, 977 nt
Organism: Mangifera indica (mango)
Lineage: Eukaryota; Viridiplantae; Streptophyta; Magnoliopsida; Sapindales; Anacardiaceae
Exons: 2
Source: RefSeq, a predicted model, not a curated record
CCUGCUGCUAAUUUGUCUAACUCAUCAUUUUACUUCCUUAAUAAAAAGCUUCUGAAGUCCUUAAUAAAGUCUAUCUUCAUGUAGCAAUUGAAUUAUUUAUUAUGUUCCAUAGUUGUUUCAUGCUAUCUGUGUUUUUUUAUUUUCCAGACUUGCGAGAUUGUUGAGGGACAGCAAUAUAUGAAAAGGUUGAAUGAGAGGCAAAUUAUGACUCUCUUGAAAGUUACAUGCCAAAGACCUAAGGAUCGGGAAAAUGACUUAUGCAGGUAUUGUGAUAAUAUAAAAUUCCCCUUUUGUAGAACACAAGUGUCGUAAAUGAAAAUUUUACUAGGUAAGGCAAGCUUUGGAAUCUUUGAGCUAAAAUUUAAUCACUAGAGAGUUGUAAAAACUUCUUUACCUUUUCGGUUGUCUUUCUUCCAACUAUAUUAAAUAUAACUGAAUGCCUAUAACCUGUAGGUUUGAGAAAUUCUCUGUUGCAUUUAUACCAGAUAAGAUAUGGUAUUAAAUUGAAGACUAAAUCUGCUGUACUCUGAAAUCAUUGGAAUAUUAACAUUUACCUUACGAUGUUAAGCCUCUAAUUGUGGUUGCAUUCUUUGAAAUUAAGGAAUUUUAGGACUUCACAAGUUCUUAACAAGAUUCUUUUUUCUGGAUAUCAUAUGGAAUACAGUGUUCCGGUCUUGGAUUUUGAAAUAACAUUAUUCCUUGCAAUGUUUUGUGACUAAGCAUACAAUUCAGCAAAUUGCUUAUGAUCAAGACCGUCAUGCAAAGGAGUUUGGUACCAAAAUUAGUGAAAAGUCAGCUUCUGUUGAGGCAUGGAUCCUUUCUGCUCCUUUGGGACUUGAAGAUAAAGUCAAGCAUCAAACACUUAGUAUUGGUCAGGCAUAAUACAUGGAUUGUUAUGCUAUUUGUAACAAUUUUCUAAUUUUGAUUAUAAAAAGAGAUUAUCAUAAUAGGAAAUUUAUAGAUUUUGAUUAUGGAGA